AGCGAACGCUGGCGGCAGGCCUAACACAUGCAAGUCGAACGAAGUCUUCGGACUUAGUGGCGGACGGGUGAGUAACACGUGGGAACGUACCUUUUGGUUCGGAACAACUCAGGGAAACUUGAGCUAAUACCGAAUGUGCCCUUCGGGGGAAAGAUUUGUCGCCAUUAGAGCGGCCCGCGUUAGAUUAGCUAGUUGGUGGG
This 200-nucleotide ribosomal RNA is filed under the name uncultured bacterium. RNAcentral's name for it is "partial 16S ribosomal RNA". It matches the Rfam family "Bacterial small subunit ribosomal RNA", at positions 29 to 256 of the family's 1533-position model. The record is from RNAcentral.